GGGGGUGUAGCUCAGCCGGAUAGAGCAUCGGAUUUCUAAUCCGAGGGUCGGGAGUUCGAGUCUCCCCACCCCUGCCA
RNAcentral lists this transfer RNA (77 nucleotides) under Terriglobia bacterium. Its description in RNAcentral is "tRNA-Arg". It matches the Rfam family "tRNA". Rfam says of the family: Transfer RNA (tRNA) molecules are approximately 80 nucleotides in length. Their secondary structure includes four short double-helical elements and three loops (D, anti-codon, and T loops). Lineage: Bacteria; Pseudomonadati; Acidobacteriota; Terriglobia. The record is from RNAcentral.